Molecule: ribosomal RNA, 350 nt
Filed under: uncultured bacterium
Lineage: Bacteria
Description: bacterial SSU rRNA
Rfam family: Bacterial small subunit ribosomal RNA
Source: RNAcentral
AGAGUUUGAUCAUGGCUCAGGAUGAACGCUAGCUACAGGCUUAACACAUGCAAGUCGAGGGGCAGCGGGAUUGAAGCUUGCUUCAAUUGCCGGCGACCGGCGCACGGGUGAGUAACGCGUAUCCAACCUUCCGUACACCCAGGGAUAGCCUUUCGAAAGAAAGAUUAAUACCUGAUGGUAUGAUGAAAUUGCAUGAUAGCAUCAUUAAAGAUUUAUCGGUGUACGAUGGGGAUGCGUUCCAUUAGGUAGUAGGCGGGGUAACGGCCACCUAGCCUACGGUGGAUAGGGGUUCUGAGAGGAAGGUCCCCCACAUUGGAACUGAGACACGGUCCAAAACUCCUACGGGAGCA